Molecule: transfer RNA, 72 nt
Organism: Ectocarpus siliculosus
Lineage: Eukaryota; Phaeophyceae; Ectocarpales; Ectocarpaceae
Rfam family: tRNA
About the family: Transfer RNA (tRNA) molecules are approximately 80 nucleotides in length. Their secondary structure includes four short double-helical elements and three loops (D, anti-codon, and T loops).
Source: Rfam
GCGCUGAUAGCUCAGGGGUAGAGCAAUUGAUUGCAGCUCAAUAGGUCACCAGUUCAAAUCUGGUUCAGCGCU